UGCAACUGCGUCAAGUUCAGUCCUUGUCCAGCCGGUGCUGAGGACUGGCCAAGCAGCUGCCACAGCAAUGGCUGGAGCUUCUGAGCCCCCUUGUCCCUCUCCCUCGGCCCUGGGGAUAAAUCUCACUCCAAGACAGAC
RNAcentral lists this small nucleolar RNA (138 nucleotides) under Phoenicopterus ruber ruber. Its description in RNAcentral is "Small nucleolar RNA SNORA5". It matches the Rfam family "Small nucleolar RNA SNORA5". From Rfam's summary of the family: ACA5 is a member of the H/ACA class of snoRNA that guide the sites of modification of uridines to pseudouridines. The record is from Rfam by way of RNAcentral. Lineage: Eukaryota; Metazoa; Chordata; Aves; Phoenicopteriformes; Phoenicopteridae.